This is a long non-coding RNA of Ipomoea triloba (trilobed morning glory), 1333 nucleotides long. RefSeq lists it as uncharacterized. NCBI's taxonomy places the organism in Eukaryota, Viridiplantae, Streptophyta, Magnoliopsida, Solanales, Convolvulaceae. The transcript is spliced from 3 exons. The record is from RefSeq and is a predicted model, not a curated record.
UCUCUCAUCUCUGUUAUCCCAUUUCUCUCUUGAGUCUCUUCGCGAAUUCGUUGUUUGCUCUUCUCCGAUUCUCUAAUUUCUCUCUGAGUUCUCUCUUCUUUUCUGAUUCUCCAAUUAUCCAAUUCUGUAGUCUCUAUUAUGUGUUCUCUGAGUUUCUUUAUGAAUGUUUAUUGCAAUUUUUGAGGAUUAUUGUGAAUUUCUUUAUGAAUGUUUAUUGCAAUUUGAUUGAUUUUUGGAACCUGAAUUCUACUGCUAGUUUUCAGGAUUUUUUCACAAUAUAUAUACACAUUGAUGAUCACUUUACAUUAGCCAUAAACAUAAUCAUCAAAACACGUGUGUAAUUCAAGCUAUAACAAGGAGAUCAUUUGUGCUAGCUGUGCUCACUCGUUACCACUACAUUUUCUUGCGUUUUUCCAAGGUGUCCUUUCUGUGUCUGCUUAUAAUAUGUUUCUGGUUCUAAAAUUAUGCGACUGCGUGAAUGCGUUUCUUUGUAGUCUUUUGGAGCAAUUGCAUUCAAGGUGUUUGUCAUAUUGUUUUUGAGUUGAAGUUUGAUUGUAUUUUGAAUAGUGUCUGUUUAGGUUUUCUUCUAAUCUUCUCCUAAUAUUCUCAUCUUCUGUUUCUUCGUCUUUGACAGAGCAGUCAGCACUCAGCAGACUAGCAAAGGCUUCUAGCUUCUUCUUCUUGCCAAAUAAAUAAGGAGUAAAAAUUUAGACCCCUUUUUGACUUCUUCUUGAUUCUAGGCUUCUAGCUCUGGUCUUUGCAUUUCCUGGAACUCUCAUUACUGUUUAUUCUUUCUACUCAUAUCUGUUCCUAUGUUUCGUUAGUAGAAAAUCUCGGAAUAUUCCGACGACCCCUGUCGGAUUCCAGCUUUAGCAAUCUGAUUUCCGGCUACCAAUUUCAGAGGAAUGGGUAGUUGAAAUGUUAAUAUGCUCUUCAGCCCUUUGAGGCUUUGAGCUUAGUUGGAGAGUUCAGCAUUGAUGGGGUCCUGUUUGAGUGUUGAAGAAGAAGCUAAAUUCCAACAACAAAAUAAUAAAUCUUCAAAUCAUGGCUCAGGCAGUAGAUGUGACUGGUUUUUAUGAUUGUGAAUCAAACUGCAAAUUGGAGUUGUCAUUGUCAAGAAAUUCAUGGAGAGUUGGAGCUCAAAAAACUGAUGAUCGGUCCACAGAAGCCUACAAUUCAACAGCUUCGGCAGCAUUUAAAAGACGCUUGUAUUAAUUCACUUCUUGUUAUAUCUAGGGAAAAGGGUCAAAAAUGCCCUCGAACUUUAGCUGAUUACACUCAUCAACAUUUUUUUUUAUGCAAUGAAGCUCAAAAGCCGGUUAAUGACGUGCUA